ACGAACGCUGGCGGCGUGGAUAAGGCAUGCAAGUCACGGGGGCCGCAAGGCAACCGGCGAACGAGGUAGUAACACGUAGGAAUCUCCCCCAAAGUCUGGUAUAGCUCAUCGAAAGAUGGGGUAAUCCCGGAUGGUCUCGUAAGAGUAAAGGCGUAAGCCGCUUUGGGAAGAGCCUGCGGGAUAUCAGCUAGUUGGCAGUGUAAAAGACUACCAAGGCGAUGACGUCUAGGGGAGGUGAGAGCCUGACCCCCACCGAUGGGACUGCGACACGGCCCAUACACCUACGGGUGGCAGCAGCCGAGAAUAUUCCGCAAUGGGCGAAAGCCUGACGGAGCGACGCCGCGUGAUGGAUGAAGUCUUUCGGGAUGUAAACAUCUUUUCCUGGGGAGAACGUUUCGAUAGUACCCAGGGAAUAAGAGGUUGCUAAACUCGU
This 433-nucleotide ribosomal RNA is filed under the name uncultured bacterium. Its description in RNAcentral is "bacterial SSU rRNA". It matches the Rfam family "Bacterial small subunit ribosomal RNA", at positions 29 to 506 of the family's 1533-position model. The record is from RNAcentral.